GUGCUUGCUUCGGCAGCACAUAUACUAAAAUUGGAACGAUACAGAGAAGAUUAGCAUGGCCCCUGCACAAGGAUGACAUGCAAAUUGGUAAAGCGUUCCAUAUUUUU
This 107-nucleotide small nuclear RNA is filed under the name Capra hircus (goat). Lineage: Eukaryota; Metazoa; Chordata; Mammalia; Artiodactyla; Bovidae. The record is from RNAcentral.